UCAGCUACAGUACCGUGCCAUACCUCACAUGACCCAUAAGAGGGGGGCCGGGCUGAGCUUGGGUUUUCUGGCCCAUAGCCCAAGCUCGGCCUGGCCCAUAAAAGCCUAGGUCGGCAUGACCCAUUGGCCAGGCACAACAUGGCCUGCGUGCCAGCCCGGUCCCUUUGAGACGGGCCGUGCUAUGGCAUAGCCCUCCUCCGAAACUCCC
RNAcentral lists this long non-coding RNA (208 nucleotides) under Elaeis guineensis (African oil palm). RNAcentral's name for it is "long non-coding RNA (EGUI_LNC000074)". The record is from RNAcentral. Lineage: Eukaryota; Viridiplantae; Streptophyta; Magnoliopsida; Arecales; Arecaceae.